This 253-nucleotide ribosomal RNA is filed under the name uncultured Eubacteriales bacterium. RNAcentral describes it as "uncultured Clostridiales bacterium partial 16S ribosomal RNA". It matches the Rfam family "Bacterial small subunit ribosomal RNA", at positions 524 to 776 of the family's 1533-position model. Lineage: Bacteria; Bacillati; Bacillota; Clostridia; Eubacteriales. The record is from RNAcentral.
UACGUAGGGGGCAAGCGUUGUCCGGAAUGACUGGGCGUAAAGGGAGUGUAGGCGGCUCAUCAAGUUAGAUGUGAAAUCCCGCGGCUUAACCGCGGAACUGCAUCUAAAACUGGUAAGCUGGAGUGCAGGAGAGGUGAGUGGAAUUCCUAGUGUAGCGGUGGAAUGCGUAGAUAUUAGGAGGAACACCAGUGGCGAAGGCGGUCUGCUGGACAGCAACUGACGCUGAGGCGCGAAAGCGUGGGGAGCAAACAGG